This 253-nucleotide ribosomal RNA is filed under the name uncultured bacterium. RNAcentral describes it as "partial 16S ribosomal RNA". It matches the Rfam family "Bacterial small subunit ribosomal RNA", at positions 524 to 776 of the family's 1533-position model. The record is from RNAcentral.
UACGAAGGGGGCUAGCGUUGCUCGGAAUCACUGGGCGUAAAGGGUGCGUAGGCGGGUCUUUAAGUCAGGGGUGAAAUCCUGGAGCUCAACUCCAGAACUGCCUUUGAUACUGAGGAUCUUGAGUACGGGAGAGGUGAGUGGAACUGCGAGUGUAGAGGUGAAAUUCGUAGAUAUUCGCAAGAACACCAGUGGCGAAGGCGGCUCACUGGACCGGUAUUGACGCUGAGGUGCGAAAGCGUGGGGAGCAAACAGG